RNAcentral lists this ribosomal RNA (253 nucleotides) under uncultured bacterium. RNAcentral's name for it is "partial 16S ribosomal RNA". It matches the Rfam family "Bacterial small subunit ribosomal RNA", at positions 524 to 776 of the family's 1533-position model. The record is from RNAcentral.
UACGUAGGGGGCAAGCGUUGUCCGGAAUUAUUGGGCGUAAAGCGCGUGUAGGCGGUCCGGUAAGUCGGUUGUGAAAGUCCAGGGCUCAACCCUGGGAUGCCGAUCGAUACUGCCGGACUAGAGUCCGGAAGAGGCGAGUGGAAUUCCCGGUGUAGUGGUGAAAUGCGUAGAGAUCCGGAGGAAUACCAGUGGCGAAGGCGGCUUGCUGGGUCUAGACUGACACUCAGACGCGAAAGCAUGGGGAGCGAACGGG